Molecule: non-coding RNA, 73 nt
Organism: Globomyces sp. JEL0801
Lineage: Eukaryota; Fungi; Chytridiomycota; Chytridiomycetes; Rhizophydiales; Globomycetaceae
Source: the annotation of a GenBank genome assembly
GCCUUCUUAGCUCAGUGGUAGUAGCGCAUGCCUAGUAAGCAUGAGGUCGGGUGUUCAAUCCACCCAGAAGGCA